This 292-nucleotide ribosomal RNA is filed under the name uncultured bacterium. RNAcentral's name for it is "partial 16S ribosomal RNA". It matches the Rfam family "Bacterial small subunit ribosomal RNA", at positions 505 to 796 of the family's 1533-position model. The record is from RNAcentral.
GUGUCAGCAGCCGCGGUAAUACGUAGGGAGCAAGCGUUGUCCGGAAUCAUUGGGCGUAAAGAGCGUGUAGGCGGCCCGGUAAGUCGGUUGUGAAAGUCAAGGGCUCAACCCUUGAAAGCCGACCGAUACUGCCGGGCUAGAAUCCGGAAGAGGCGAGUGGAAUUCCUGGUGUAGCGGUGAAAUGCGCAGAUAUCAGGAGGAACACCAAUGGCGAAGGCAGCUCGCUGGGACGGUAUUGACGCUGAGACGCGAAAGCGUGGGGAGCAAACAGGAUUAGAUACCCCGGUAGUCC